ACUCCCAUGGCCCUGGCUGACCUGGCCCCCACCCUGUGCAGUUCCAGCAGACCUCGGAGCACGCGCUGUUCUCCUGCUCUGUGGUGGAUGUCUUUUCCCAGCUCAACCAGAGCUUCGAGAUCGUCAAGAAGCUGGAGUGCCCCGACCCCCAGAUCGUGGGUCAUUACAUGCGGCGCUUCGCCAAGACCAUCUGUAACGUGCUCCUGCAGUAUGCAGACAUCAUCUCCAAAGACUUCGCCUCGCACUGCUCCAAGGAGAAGGAGAAAGUGCCCUGCAUCCUCAUGA
This 285-nucleotide long non-coding RNA is filed under the name Castor canadensis (American beaver). Its description in RNAcentral is "lncRNA (ENSCCNG00000017282.1)". Lineage: Eukaryota; Metazoa; Chordata; Mammalia; Rodentia; Castoridae. The record is from RNAcentral.